This 2324-nucleotide ribosomal RNA is filed under the name Ostreococcus mediterraneus. RNAcentral's name for it is "partial Bacterial large subunit ribosomal RNA". It matches the Rfam family "Bacterial large subunit ribosomal RNA", at positions 25 to 2429 of the family's 2925-position model. The record is from RNAcentral. Lineage: Eukaryota; Viridiplantae; Chlorophyta; Mamiellophyceae; Mamiellales; Bathycoccaceae.
UGGAUGCUUAGGUUUAACAAGUUUAUGGACGUUUAUCAAUGCGAAAAGUCACUUGAAGAGAAUCCUCAAUGACAAGUGAAUCUCCAAUGUGGAAAACCACAACAUAUAACAUACUACAAAGGGAACUGAAACAUCUAAGUACCUUUAGGAAAAGAAAUCAACCGAGAUUCCCCUAGUAGCGGCGAGCGAACGGGGAUUAGCCCUUAAGCUAAUUACAAGCGAGUGGAAUGUGCUGGAAAGCACAGCGAUACAAGGUGAUAGCCCUGUACACGAACGCGAAUUUUAAGUGAAAUCGAGUAGGUCGGGACACGUGUUAUCUUGACUGAAUAUGGGGGGACCAUCCUCCAAGGCUAAAUACUCCUAACUGACCGAUAGUGAACUAGUACCGUGAGGGAAAGGCGAAAAGAACCCCGGAGAGGGGAGUGAAAUAGAUCCUGAAACCGUAUGCGUACAAGCAGUAGGAGCACCCUUGCGGUGUGACUGCGUACCUUUUGUAUAAUGGGUCAGCGACUUAUGUUCAGUGGCGAGGUUAACCGUUUAGGGGAGCCGUAGGGAAACCGAGUCUGAAUAGGGCGAUUUAGUCGCUGGGCAUAGACCCGAAACCGGGCGAUCUAUCCAUGAGCAGGUUGAAGGUUGAGUAACAUCAACUGGAGGACCGAACCGACUAACGUUGAAAAGUUAGCGGAUGACUUGUGGCUGGGGGUGAAAGGCCAAUCAAACCGGGAGAUAGCUGGUUCUCCCCGAAAGCUAUUUAGGUAGCGCCUCGGACGAAUACCACAGGGGGUAGAGCACUGUUUCGGCUAGGGGGUCAUCCCGACUUACCAACCCGACGCAAACUCCGAAUACCUGGAAGUGCAAUCAUGGCAGACAGACGGCGGGUGCUAACGUCCGUCGUCGAGAGGGAAACAACCCAGACCGCCAGCUAAGGUCCCAAAAUCACAGUUAAGUGGGAAACGAUGUGGGAAGGCUAAGACAGCUAGGAGGUUGGCUUAGAAGCAGCCACCCUUUAAAGAAAGCGUAAUAGCUCACUAGUCGAGUCGGCCUGCGCGGAAGAUGUAACGGGGCUAAGCAAUAUACCGAAGCUGCGGACGCAUAGUUUACUAUGCGUGGUAGGGGAGCGUUGUGUAAGUGGCUGAAGGUGAACUGAGAGGUUUGCUGGACAUAUCACAAGUGCGAAUGCUGACAUGAGUAACGAUAAUGCGGGUGAAAAACCCGCACGCCGGAAGACCAAGGUUUCCUGUCCCAUGCUAAUCAGGGCAGGGUAAGUCGGCCCCUAAGGCGAGGCAGAAAUGCGUAGUCGAUGGGAAACGGAUUAAUAUUUCCGUACUUGGUAUAUCAGUGAUGGGGGGACGGAGAAGGUUAUGCAAGCAUAGCGUUGGUUGUCUAUGUGAAAGUGUGUAGGGUUGAAGUUUAGGUAAAUCCGGACUUCUACAUGCCUGAGACACGAGACGAGAUUCUACGGAAUUGAAGUUGCAAAUACCCUGCUUCCAGGAAAAGCCUCUAAACUUAUGAUAUAUCGAACCGUACCCCAAACCGACACAGGUGGUCAGGUAGAGAAUACUAAGGCGCUUGAGAGAACUCGGGUGAAGGAACUCGGCAAAAUCGUACCGUAACUUCGGGAGAAGGUACGCCGCUGUUUGUGAUGAGACUUGCUCUCUAAGCGAAUGGCGGCCGCAGUGAAAAGGUGGCUGGGACUGUUUAUUAAAAACACAGCACUGUGCUAAAUCGAAAGAUGACGUAUACGGUGUGACACCUGCCCGGUGCCGGAAGGUUAAUUGAUGGGGUUAGCGCAAGCGAAGCUCUUGAUCGAAGCCCCGGUAAACGGCGGCCGUAACAAUAACGGUCCUAAGGUAGCGAAAUUCCUUGUCGGGUAAGUUCCGACCUGCACGAAUGGUGUAACCAUGGCCACGCUGUCUCCACCCGAGACUCAGUGAAAUUGAAAUCGCAGUGAAGAUGCUGUGUACCCGCACCUAGACGGAAAGACCCCGUGAACCUUUACUAUAGCUUGGCACUGAACAUUGACCCUACAUGUGUAGGAUAGGUGGGAGACUUUGAAGCGUGAACGCCAGUUUGCGUGGAGUCAACCUUGAAAUACCACCCUUGUACGUUUGAUGUUCUAACGUUGUUCCCUAAUCGGGAAUGCGGACAGUGCCUGGUGGGUAGUUUGACUGGGGCGGUCUCCUCCCAAAGAGUAACGGAGGAGCACGAAGGUUGGCUAAUCCUGGUCGGACAUCAGGAGGUUAGUGCAAUGGCAUAAGCCAGCUUAACUGCGAGACAGACACGUCGAGCAGGUACGAAAGUAGGUCAUAGUGAUCCGGUGGUUC